AUGCACUGUCCCUUGGGUGGCGACCUGCAUUCCCUAGAUCUUGGCACCGCCUCUCCUCGAGGCCCCGCCCCUGACCCGCCCCCUCCCAGAGUGCUUUGUGUCAGCUCUGGCCGAGUGGACAAGUGGACGCAGCUGGCUGCUGGACUUCGGGACUUCUCUCUCUGGAUCCCAUCCUGCCUGCGACACAGGGACAGGAAUGCAGCUGGCAGCAGCCUAUGGGGGCAGUCAGAAUCUGAGGAAAAAUUCUUGGGUUGUGAAGCCGAAGAAGCCUCUGGAAGCCUGUCAUCGGUGAAUGACAAGAAUUGGAAACCAAGGCUGCCAAAGAUCACACAGCUAGUUUAAAUGGUGAAGCUGCAAUUCUUACCCGGGAGCAAGCCAUCAAGGCUGGAGCUGGUGGGUGAGGACAGGAACUAGCGGGAGAUGGAGCUGGAGGCAUGUGGAGGGUCUGGGUCAUGUCCAGCCUUGCAGGCCAUGGGAAAGGAGUGUGGAUUUUAUUCUAUAUGCUUGAGAAACUAUCAAAAAGAGUUAAGCAGGAGAGUGCGUGAUUUAAUGUAUGUGUAUAAAAAGCCAAUGAUGAACUUUAUUUCCAUAAAAAAAUUGUGUUUUAUGGUUAUAAAAACUAAAAUUAUUCGUUUGGAAAAUUCAGAAAAGCAUGAAGUUGAAAACAAAAAUCAUCUCUUAAUUCCACCCUUUGCAGACAAUAGGUAAUCACUGUUAACCUUGGAAUAUAGUAACCUUGGCGUAUUGUUUUCUAGUCAUUGAAAAUAUUUAUAUUUUCACAUAACUGGAAUAAUCACCCUAUACAUAUUGUUCUGCCAACCAGCACUUAAGAAAAGUAGAGUGUCGAGUGGUAGUUUUGUUCCAAGGUUUUUCAGGAAGAAAUGGACAUUAGUUGGGGUGGUGGGAGAACCUGAGGAGUGGGGUUGGGGUAUGGAAAGAAUCCCAUUGUGUUUUCAGGGGAUUAAUCCAACAGGAAGCUGGGUUGUCACAUUGGAAGGCUGCCUUUGAACCACAUGUGAGUUCACUGAAAAUUCCAAUUUCUUUGAGUUCUCCAAGAACCAGACUAGAGCCCACACCUCUUCUUUUCCUGCAGGCCUUGGCCACAAAACCCCAGCUAUCCUAUGCAGCUCCUAAAGUGGAGAGAUUGUCCUUCUGUGAGGUUCUGUGGGCCUCCCCCAUCCUCAUCUUCCCUUCUGCUUUCACAGCAUCAUUAUUCUGGCAUGAGAGGAUGGGUGGGUCAUAGGCUUCAGCCUGCUCCUCUUAUUUACAAUUGCAAUACAUCACCAAUUUUGUGUCAGGCACAGCGAUAAUUCCUUUUUUAUGUAUCAUUUAAAUGUAUCCUGCCCCAUACUCUGAGGCAAGCUCUUUCACUGGUGCCUGCGUGCUCAGUCACUUCAGUCAUAUCCGACUCUUGCAAUGUAUGAGCUGCAGCCCACCAGGCUCCUCUGUCCAUGAGAUUCUCCAGGCAAAAUUACUGGAGUGGGUUGCCAUGCCCUCCUCCGGGCGAUCUUCCUGACCCAGUGAUCGAAUCCACAUCUCCUGCUUUGCAGGCUGAUUUUUUACUGCUGAGCCACUGGGAAAGCCCGUUUCACUGGGGAGGAAACUGAAACUCAAAGAAGUAACAACAGCUAA
Long non-coding RNA from Bos grunniens (domestic yak), 1632 nucleotides. The record is from Ensembl. NCBI's taxonomy places the organism in Eukaryota, Metazoa, Chordata, Mammalia, Artiodactyla, Bovidae.